This 503-nucleotide ribosomal RNA is filed under the name uncultured Pseudacidovorax sp. RNAcentral describes it as "partial 16S ribosomal RNA". The record is from RNAcentral. Lineage: Bacteria; Pseudomonadati; Pseudomonadota; Betaproteobacteria; Burkholderiales; Comamonadaceae.
CACGUAGUUAGCCGGUGCUUAUUCUUACGGUACCGUCAUCAGUUCCCUGUAUUAAAAGAAACCUUUUCGUUCCGUACAAAAGCAGUUUACAACCCGAAGGCCUUCAUCCUGCACGCGGCAUGGCUGGAUCAGGCUUGCGCCCAUUGUCCAAAAUUCCCCACUGCUGCCUCCCGUAGGAGUCUGGGCCGUGUCUCAGUCCCAGUGUGGCUGGUCGUCCUCUCAGACCAGCUACAGAUCGUCGGCUUGGUAGGCCUUUACCCCACCAACUACCUAAUCUGCCAUCGGCCGCUCCGUCCGCGCGAGGUCUUGCGAUCCCCCGGCUUUCAUCCGUAGAUCGUAUGCGGUAUUAGCACAGCUUUCGCUGCGUUAUCCCCCACGAUCGGGCACGUUCCGAUGUAUUACUCACCCGUUCGCCACUCGUCAGCACCUUGCGGCCUGUUACCGUUCGACUUGCAUGUGUAAGGCAUGCCGCCAGCGUUCAAUCUGAGCCAGGAUCAAACUCU